GAUGAACGCUGGCGGCGUGCCUAAUACAUGCAAGUCGAGCGAACAGACGAGGAGCUUGCUCCUCUGACGUUAGCGGCGGACGGGUGAGUAACACGUGGAUGACCUACCUAUAAGACUGGGAUAACUUCGGGAAACCGGAGCUAAUACCGGAUAAUAUAUUGAACCGCAUGGUUCAAUAGUGAAAGACGGUUUUGCUGUCACUUAUAGAUGGAUCCGCGCCGCAUUAGCUAGUUGGUAAGGUAACGGCUUACCAAGGCAACGAUGCGUAGCCGACCUGAGAGGGUGAUCGGCCACACUGGAACUGAGACACGGUCCAGACUCCUACGGGAGGCAGCAGUAGGGAAUCUUCCGCAAUGGGCGAAAGCCUGACGGAGCAACGCCGCGUGAGUGAUGAAGGUCUUCGGAUCGUAAAACUCUGUUAUUAGGGAAGAACAAAUGUGUAAGUAACUAUGCACGUCUUGACGGUACCUAAUCAGAAAGCCACGGCUAACUACGCG
This 497-nucleotide ribosomal RNA is filed under the name uncultured bacterium. Its description in RNAcentral is "partial 16S ribosomal RNA". It matches the Rfam family "Bacterial small subunit ribosomal RNA", at positions 28 to 507 of the family's 1533-position model. The record is from RNAcentral.